CGGACAUCAUUGCCAGACCGGACAAAAUUUUCAACAAAAAUGCCUGUAAAACAAUCUGCAUGGAAGCCUGACCUCACACCACCCAAGCCUGAGUCUCCCUGGGAGGCUGAAGUGCUGCAGGGAAAUCCAACAAAGCUCUGGAUCCAGGGCUACUUGCAAUUGUCUGGACACCGAGGCUUGAAGUACCUAUCCAGGGUGCUGGACUGUGUUCUGCCACUUGCGGGCAUAGGCUAAGCUGGGC
Pelobates cultripes (western spadefoot toad) is the source of this 241-nucleotide non-coding RNA. Lineage: Eukaryota; Metazoa; Chordata; Amphibia; Anura; Pelobatidae. The record is from the annotation of a GenBank genome assembly.